Molecule: ribosomal RNA, 329 nt
Filed under: uncultured Bradyrhizobium sp.
Lineage: Bacteria; Pseudomonadati; Pseudomonadota; Alphaproteobacteria; Hyphomicrobiales; Nitrobacteraceae
Description: bacterial SSU rRNA
Rfam family: Bacterial small subunit ribosomal RNA
Source: RNAcentral
CCUUAGAGUUUGAUCUGGCUCAGAGCGAACGCUGGCGGCAGGCUUAACACAUGCAAGUUCGAGCGGGCGUAGCAAUACGUCAGCGGCAGACGGGUGAGUAACGCGUGGGAACGUACCUUUUGGUUCGGAACAACACAGGGAAACUUGUGCUAAUACCGGAUAAGCCCUUACGGGGAAAGAUUUAUCGCCGAAAGAUCGGCCCGCGUCUGAUUAGCUAGUUGGUGAGGUAAUGGCUCACCAAGGCGACGAUCAGUAGCUGGUCUGAGAGGAUGAUCAGCCACAUUGGGACUGAGACACGGCCCAAACUCCUACGGGAGGCAGCAGAAGGG